RNAcentral lists this ribosomal RNA (2190 nucleotides) under gut metagenome. Its description in RNAcentral is "bacterial LSU rRNA". It matches the Rfam family "Bacterial large subunit ribosomal RNA", at positions 14 to 2230 of the family's 2925-position model. The record is from RNAcentral.
AGCGUACACGGUGGAUGCCCUGGCAGUCAGAGGCGAUGAAGGACGUGCUAAUCUGCGAUAAGCGUCGGUAAGGUGAUAUGAACCGUUAUAACCGGCGAUUUCCGAAUGGGGAAACCCAGUGUGAUUCGUCACACUAUCAUUAACUGAAUCCAUAGGUUAAUGAGGCGAACCGGGGGAACUGAAACAUCUAAGUACCCCGAGGAAAAGAAAUCAACCGAGAUUCCCCCAGUAGCGGCGAGCGAACGGGGAGGAGCCCAGAGCCUGAAUCAGUGUGUGUGUUAGUGGAAGCGUCUGGAAAGGCGCGCGAUACAGGGUGACAGCCCCGUACACAAAAAUGCACAUGCUGUGAGCUCGAUGAGUAGGGCGGGACACGUGGUAUCCUGUCUGAAUAUGGGGGGACCAUCCUCCAAGGCUAAAUACUCCUGACUGACCGAUAGUGAACCAGUACCGUGAGGGAAAGGCGAAAAGAACCCCGGCGAGGGGAGUGAAAAAGAACCUGAAACCGUGUACGUACAAGCAGUGGGAGCACGCUUCGGCGUGUGACUGCGUACCUUUUGUAUAAUGGGUCAGCGACUUAUAUUCUGUAGCAAGGUUAACCGAAUAGGGGAGCCGAAGGGAAACCGAGUCUUAACUGGGCGUUAAGUUGCAGGGUAUAGACCCGAAACCCGGUGAUCUAGCCAUGGGCAGGUUGAAGGUUGGGUAACACUAACUGGAGGACCGAACCGACUAAUGUUGAAAAAUUAGCGGAUGACUUGUGGCUGGGGGUGAAAGGCCAAUCAAACCGGGAGAUAGCUGGUUCUCCCCGAAAGCUAUUUAGGUAGCGCCUCGUGAAUUCAUCUCCGGGGGUAGAGCACUGUUUCGGCAAGGGGGUCAUCCCGACUUACCAACCCGAUGCAAACUGCGAAUACCGGAGAAUGUUAUCACGGGAGACACACGGCGGGUGCUAACGUCCGUCGUGAAGAGGGAAACAACCCAGACCGCCAGCUAAGGUCCCAAAGUCAUGGUUAAGUGGGAAACGAUGUGGGAAGGCCCAGACAGCCAGGAUGUUGGCUUAGAAGCAGCCAUCAUUUAAAGAAAGCGUAAUAGCUCACUGGUCGAGUCGGCCUGCGCGGAAGAUGUAACGGGGCUAAACCAUGCACCGAAGCUGCGGCAGCGACACUAUGUGUUGUUGGGUAGGGGAGCGUUCUGUAAGCCUGUGAAGGUGUACUGUGAGGUAUGCUGGAGGUAUCAGAAGUGCGAAUGCUGACAUAAGUAACGAUAAAGCGGGUGAAAAGCCCGCUCGCCGGAAGACCAAGGGUUCCUGUCCAACGUUAAUCGGGGCAGGGUGAGUCGACCCCUAAGGCGAGGCCGAAAGGCGUAGUCGAUGGGAAACAGGUUAAUAUUCCUGUACUUGGUGUUACUGCGAAGGGGGGACGGAGAAGGCUAUGUUGGCCGGGCGACGGUUGUCCCGGUUUAAGCGUGUAGGCUGGUUUUCCAGGCAAAUCCGGAAAAUCAAGGCUGAGGCGUGAUGACGAGGCACUACGGUGCUGAAGCAACAAAUGCCCUGCUUCCAGGAAAAGCCUCUAAGCAUCAGGUAACAUCAAAUCGUACCCCAAACCGACACAGGUGGUCAGGUAGAGAAUACCAAGGCGCUUGAGAGAACUCGGGUGAAGGAACUAGGCAAAAUGGUGCCGUAACUUCGGGAGAAGGCACGCUGAUAUGUAGGUGAAGCGACUUGCUCGUGGAGCUGAAAUCAGUCGAAGAUACCAGCUGGCUGCAACUGUUUAUUAAAAACACAGCACUGUGCAAACACGAAAGUGGACGUAUACGGUGUGACGCCUGCCCGGUGCCGGAAGGUUAAUUGAUGGGGUUAGCGCAAGCGAAGCUCUUGAUCGAAGCCCCGGUAAACGGCGGCCGUAACUAUAACGGUCCUAAGGUAGCGAAAUUCCUUGUCGGGUAAGUUCCGACCUGCACGAAUGGCGUAAUGAUGGCCAGGCUGUCUCCACCCGAGACUCAGUGAAAUUGAACUCGCUGUGAAGAUGCAGUGUACCCGCGGCAAGACGGAAAGACCCCGUGAACCUUUACUAUAGCUUGACACUGAACAUUGAGCCUUGAUGUGUAGGAUAGGUGGGAGGCUUUGAAGUGUGGACGCCAGUCUGCAUGGAGCCGACCUUGAAAUACCACCCUUUAAUGUUUGAUGUUCUAACGUUG